UACGUAGGGUGCGAGCGUUAAUCGGAAUUACUGGGCGUAAAGCGUGCGCAGGCGGUUAUGUAAGACAGAUGUGAAAUCCCCGGGCUCAACCUGGGAACUGCAUUUGUGACUGCACAGCUGGAGUGCGGCAGAGGGGGAUGGAAUUCCGCGUGUAGCAGUGAAAUGCGUAGAUAUGCGGAGGAACACCGAUGGCGAAGGCAAUCCCCUGGGCCUGCACUGACGCUCAUGCACGAAAGCGUGGGGAGCAAACAGG
RNAcentral lists this ribosomal RNA (253 nucleotides) under uncultured bacterium. RNAcentral describes it as "partial 16S ribosomal RNA". It matches the Rfam family "Bacterial small subunit ribosomal RNA", at positions 524 to 776 of the family's 1533-position model. The record is from RNAcentral.